GGAUCUUGGGCAAUGGGCGAAAGCCUGACCCAGCAACGCCGCGUGAGGGAUGAAGGUCUUCGGAUUGUAAACCUCUUUUCUCUGGGAGCAGCAAGGAGAGUACCAGAGGAAGAAGUCACGGCUAACUACGUGCCAGCAGCCGCGGUAAUACGUAGGUGGCAAGCGGUAUCCGGAAUUACUGGGCGUAAAGGGUCCGUAGGUGGGGUGGUUAGUCUGGUGUGACAUCUCUCGGCUUAACUGGGAGGGUGCAUUGGAAACUACCACUCUUGAGUCACAGAGAGGGGCGUGGAAUUCCAGGUGUAGUGGUGGAAUGCGUAGAGAUCUGGAGGAACCCCGUUGGCGCAAGCGACGCCCUGGCUGAGGACUGACACUGAGGGACGAAGGUGUGGGGAGCAAACAGG
RNAcentral lists this ribosomal RNA (401 nucleotides) under uncultured bacterium. RNAcentral describes it as "bacterial SSU rRNA". It matches the Rfam family "Bacterial small subunit ribosomal RNA", at positions 359 to 776 of the family's 1533-position model. The record is from RNAcentral.